Long non-coding RNA from Raphanus sativus (radish), 659 nucleotides. RefSeq lists it as uncharacterized. The record is from RefSeq and is a predicted model, not a curated record. NCBI's taxonomy places the organism in Eukaryota, Viridiplantae, Streptophyta, Magnoliopsida, Brassicales, Brassicaceae. The transcript is spliced from 2 exons.
UUGAUGCAUUUAUUAUUUUUGGUUAACAUCACUUAUUAGGCAUGAUACAAAAUUUACAUCGAUUGAAACUGAUGCUAAUUUAUGUUACUGCAUUUUCAGUAGAAAUUUAAAACACUAGAGAUUACGAGAAGUGGUUACGAUUUUUAUGGCUUUAAUUUUUUCUUUAUAGCUGUGAUAUAAUUGUAUCCCUAACCGUUCACCACAAACACAUCAUCUUCUUUGCUUUCGUGAUUAACAUUUAUGGGUUCCUCUCUCUCUCUCUCAAAUCAAACAAUUUUUAUAAGUCAUGAUGAUGAAUUCUGUUUCUUCGUAUGCAGAAUUUCAAUGAUUAUUAAGGAUCAAAAACGUCUGGAAAUAUAAGAAGAGACGAUGGAGACUGAAAUCUAAAAGGAAAAGUAGAAGUGUCAGGAAAUCAAGGUUGAAGGAAACAGUUUUGUUGAAGAUUGAUGAUGAAAAGAGAGACAUAGAGAACGAGAAGAAAAUGAAGAAGAAUCUUGAAGAUUUUCUCAUGGCUAAUUCUAUUUAGCUUUUUUUAUAAUUCUUUUAUCUCUGGGUUCAUCUUAUUACUUGUUGUUCUUGCUUUGUUUUGAGUUUCUCUUCAAAUUUUGUGUUUUCUCUUUCAUCGUCAGAUGUAAUAUAAAUAAUAAAAUUAUUUAAAU